GUUAAGCGACUAAGCGUACACGGUGGAUGCCCUGGCAGUCAGAGGCGAUGAAGGACGUGCUAAUCUGCGAUAAGCGUCGGUAAGGUGAUAUGAACCGUUAUAACCGGCGAUUUCCGAAUGGGGAAACCCAGUGUGUUUCGACACACUAUCAUUAACUGAAUCCAUAGGUUAAUGAGGCGAACCGGGGGAACUGAAACAUCUAAGUACCCCGAGGAAAAGAAAUCAACCGAGAUUCCCCCAGUAGCGGCGAGCGAACGGGGAGCAGCCCAGAGCCUGAAUCAGUGUGUGUGUUAGUGGAAGCGUCUGGAAAGGCGCGCGAUACAGGGUGACAGCCCCGUACACAAAAAUGCACAUGCUGUGAGCUCGAUGAGUAGGGCGGGACACGUGGUAUCCUGUCUGAAUAUGGGGGGACCAUCCUCCAAGGCUAAAUACUCCUGACUGACCGAUAGUGAACCAGUACCGUGAGGGAAAGGCGAAAAGAACCCCGGCGAGGGGAGUGAAAAAGAACCUGAAACCGUGUACGUACAAGCAGUGGGAGCACGCUUAGGCGUGUGACUGCGUACCUUUUGUAUAAUGGGUCAGCGACUUAUAUUCUGUAGCAAGGUUAACCGAAUAGGGGAGCCGAAGGGAAACCGAGUCUUAACUGGGCGUUAAGUUGCAGGGUAUAGACCCGAAACCCGGUGAUCUAGCCAUGGGCAGGUUGAAGGUUGGGUAACACUAACUGGAGGACCGAACCGACUAAUGUUGAAAAAUUAGCGGAUGACUUGUGGCUGGGGGUGAAAGGCCAAUCAAACCGGGAGAUAGCUGGUUCUCCCCGAAAGCUAUUUAGGUAGCGCCUCGUGAAUUCAUCUCCGGGGGUAGAGCACUGUUUCGGCAAGGGGGUCAUCCCGACUUACCAACCCGAUGCAAACUGCGAAUACCGGAGAAUGUUAUCACGGGAGACACACGGCGGGUGCUAACGUCCGUCGUGAAGAGGGAAACAACCCAGACCGCCAGCUAAGGUCCCAAAGUCAUGGUUAAGUGGGAAACGAUGUGGGAAGGCCCAGACAGCCAGGAUGUUGGCUUAGAAGCAGCCAUCAUUUAAAGAAAGCGUAAUAGCUCACUGGUCGAGUCGGCCUGCGCGGAAGAUGUAACGGGGCUAAACCAUGCACCGAAGCUGCGGCAGCGACGCUUAUGCGUUGUUGGGUAGGGGAGCGUUCUGUAAGCCUGCGAAGGUGUGCUGUGAGGCAUGCUGGAGGUAUCAGAAGUGCGAAUGCUGACAUAAGUAACGAUAAAGCGGGUGAAAAGCCCGCUCGCCGGAAGACCAAGGGUUCCUGUCCAACGUUAAUCGGGGCAGGGUGAGUCGACCCCUAAGGCGAGGCCGAAAGGCGUAGUCGAUGGGAAACAGGUUAAUAUUCCUGUACUUGGUGUUACUGCGAAGGGGGGACGGAGAAGGCUAUGUUGGCCGGGCGACGGUUGUCCCGGUUUAAGCGUGUAGGCUGGUUUUCCAGGCAAAUCCGGAAAAUCAAGGCUGAGGCGUGAUGACGAGGCACUACGGUGCUGAAGCAACAAAUGCCCUGCUUCCAGGAAAAGCCUCUAAGCAUCAGGUAACAUCAAAUCGUACCCCAAACCGACACAGGUGGUCAGGUAGAGAAUACCAAGGCGCUUGAGAGAACUCGGGUGAAGGAACUAGGCAAAAUGGUGCCGUAACUUCGGGAGAAGGCACGC
Molecule: ribosomal RNA, 1707 nt
Filed under: Escherichia coli
Lineage: Bacteria; Pseudomonadati; Pseudomonadota; Gammaproteobacteria; Enterobacterales; Enterobacteriaceae
Description: partial 23S ribosomal RNA
Rfam family: Bacterial large subunit ribosomal RNA
Source: RNAcentral